GUGUUUCACACUCCUGUUUGCAAGUGUCUGCUGCAGAGUGAGCUGUAUGAGCUUCUGGAUGAGAGUGAGAAAGAUUAUCCUGGAUUGUCUGGCUGAGCCCAAUCCCAGGAGUGCUUAAAUGUAGAAAAGCUCAGCAGAAAAGAGCAUCACGGAGAUGGAGGAUGUGAAGACCCAGGCUGCCAUUGCUGGGUUCGAAGAGCGAGGCAAGAGGCCACCAGCCAAAGAAUGCAGUGACCUCUCAGCACUGCCUGUGGUCCUCAAGCUACAGCCAAUGCAGAAGCAGGAACAUAAGUCCUGCAACCAUGAGGAACUGAAUUCUGCCAACAACCCAAACGAGCAGGAAACAAGUUUUCCCCAGGGACCUUCAGAAAGGAGGACCAUCAGCCCACACCUUGAUUUUAUUCCACUGGGACCCAAGCUGGUCUUCUGACCUGCAAAACCAGACGGUUGCAGAGAAGAGAACCAGAACCCCAUCUGCUCUCCAGGGCGGAGGAGCAGGCACACAGGUUGGCGGGUGAACCAUGAGAAGAGCGGGGGUGGACAGAGCUGCCGGGAGUCACUGACUUCACGGUCACGGCAUUUAAGGAAGCACGGAUGAUACUCUUCCUGAUAAGGCAUGACAUCUGCGUGGGACCAUCGCGGAGGGUCUCAAGACAGACGUGGAUCUUUGGGGACUCGGUGGAUGUACUAUUUUCCAGCGUGUGUUUUGAGGAACAAGGGUUCAGCAUUUCAUCAGAUUCCCCAAGAAGGCUUUGAAUCUAAAAAGGCCAAGGAUUCUAUUAAUAAACGUUGUGACUCCACGCGUGGAUGGAAGCAGGGUCCCUGCCUAAGCCACGCCAACGCCCGUGGGGGCUUCUCCCAACUCGUCUAGCUCAAGAUAACCAAAAUUUAUGCCAAGCAAAGAAAUGCACGUUUCACUGAUUUUAUUACCUUUUCCUCAGGGGAGGGCAAAAAAAGGGGGGAAAAAUUAAGUUGUCAACAGGUACAAUUUUGGACUCACUUGUAAGAAGGUGGAAGUGUAGACAAAAUGCCACGUGGAAAGUGUAGAUAAAAAUCACUAUUUUAUCCGGGACCAGCAGCUUCCUUCUCACAGUACCAGGCCUCAGCCUGGCCACAGUUGCCUAAGGUAAUGUGAUGAAACGUCUGGAAACCAUGAUUAAUGGUUCUUACUUAUCUCCUAUUAAAAUGCCUAGCGGCCUUUGCAUAUGGGUGCCUGAAGCUUUUAAAAGCAUUCAUUUAUUUUUCUUAGCAUCAUUGUAUCCCGACAUUACAUUGCUUUAGCACUUUGCAAAAAUUCUGUAAAACUAAUAGGGGAAGUAAGUUUUCUGGCUCUGCAUGGGGUGGACAUUUCUCUGUAAAAGAGUCAACUUUUUUUUUUUUUUUUUAACUCAGAGCUUCUGUUUUUCCAUAGA
Long non-coding RNA from Phacochoerus africanus (Common warthog), 1412 nucleotides. RefSeq lists it as uncharacterized. NCBI's taxonomy places the organism in Eukaryota, Metazoa, Chordata, Mammalia, Artiodactyla, Suidae. The record is from RefSeq and is a predicted model, not a curated record. The transcript is spliced from 4 exons.